AGCGAACGCUGGCGGCAGGCUUAACACAUGCAAGUCGAACGCAUCCUUCGGGGUGAGUGGCAGACGGGUGAGUAACACGUGGGAACGUACCCUUCGAUCUGGGAUAACUUCGGGAAAAUGGAGCUAAUACCGGAUACGCCCUUUUGGGGAAAGGUUUACUGUCGAAGGAUCGGCCCGCGUCUGAUUAGCUAGUUGGUGGGGUAACGGCCUACCAAGGCGACGAUCAGUAGCUGGUCUGAGAGGAUGAUCAGCCACACUGGGACUGAGACACGGCCCAGACUCCUACGGGAGGCAGCAGUGGGGAAUAUUGGACAAUGGGCGCAAGCCUGAUCCAGCCAUGCCGCGUGAGUGAUGAAGGCCUUAGGGUUGUAAAGCUCUUUUGUCCGGGACGAUAAUGACGGUACCGGAAGAAUAAGCCCCGGCUAACUUCGUG
This 433-nucleotide ribosomal RNA is filed under the name uncultured bacterium. RNAcentral's name for it is "partial 16S ribosomal RNA". It matches the Rfam family "Bacterial small subunit ribosomal RNA", at positions 29 to 507 of the family's 1533-position model. The record is from RNAcentral.